RNAcentral lists this ribosomal RNA (492 nucleotides) under uncultured bacterium. RNAcentral describes it as "partial 16S ribosomal RNA". It matches the Rfam family "Bacterial small subunit ribosomal RNA", at positions 29 to 507 of the family's 1533-position model. The record is from RNAcentral.
AGUGAACGCUGGCGGUAGGCCUAACACAUGCAAGUCGAACGGCAGCACAGUAAGAGCUUGCUCUUACGGGUGGCGAGUGGCGGACGGGUGAGGAAUACAUCGGAAUCUACUUUUUCGUGGGGGAUAACGUAGGGAAACUUACGCUAUUACCGCAUACGACCUACGGGUGAAAGCAGGGGAUCUUCGGACCUUGCGCGAUUGAAUGAGCCGAUGUCGGAUUAGCUAGUUGGCGGGGUAAAGGCCCACCAAGGCGACGAUCCGUAGCUGGUCUGAGAGGAUGAUCAGCCACACUGGAACUGAGACACGGUCCAGACUCCUACGGGAGGCAGCAGUGGGGAAUAUUGGACAAUGGGCGCAAGCCUGAUCCAGCCAUACCGCGUGGGUGAAGAAGGCCUUCGGGUUGUAAAGCCCUUUUGUUGGGAAAGAAAAGCAGCAGGUUAAUACCCCGCUGUUCUGACGUUACCCAAAGAAUAAGCACCGGCUAACUUCGUG